This 374-nucleotide ribosomal RNA is filed under the name uncultured organism. RNAcentral describes it as "partial 16S ribosomal RNA". It matches the Rfam family "Bacterial small subunit ribosomal RNA", at positions 527 to 896 of the family's 1533-position model. The record is from RNAcentral.
GUAGGUGGCAAGCGUUGUCCGGAAUUAUUGGGCGUAAAGCGCGCGCAGGCGGUCCUUUAAGUCUGAUGUGAAAGCCCACGGCUCAACCGUGGAGGGUCAUUGGAAACUGGGGGACUUGAGUGCAGAAGAGGAGAGUGGAAUUCCACGUGUAGCGGUGAAAUGCGUAGAGAUGUGGAGGAACACCAGUGGCGAAGGCGACUCUCUGGUCUGUAACUGACGCUGAGGCGCGAAAGCGUGGGGGGAGCAAACAGGAUUAGAUACCCUGGUAGUCCACGCCGUAAACGAUGAGUGCUAAGUGUUAGAGGGUUUCCCGCCCUUUAGUGCUGCAGCAAACGCAUUAAGCACUCCCGCCUGGGAGUACGGCCGCAAGGCUG